UAGCGUGCGCGUGCGGAUUAGCGCUACGCCGCCGCCGUCCUGUACUGCCGUGCCCUUGCCACCUGCUCGCCUCUGCUCUCCCUAAUCCCUAUCGAUCUGAUUCACAUGGUGACGCAUGCAGCUGAUUCACUGGCCAAUUCUUCAUGUUCAGCCAACGAACUAGCCAAGUGUAACCGAGGUCUAUGGACCUAUCAAAGGGUCUUGCUGCAUAUGGUUAUGGUUGCAUUGCGUGGAAGGGGCGAAUGGAGUGCUGAAAGCAGAAUCGUAGGAGAUGGUGCACAAUAUGAGGAAUGACAGUAAAGGCUUCAACUACGAUGAAGGAUUUCAAAGAGUAUAGACCACUGUAUGGCCGAAGGAGAUGCCAUUCUUGACUGUCGUUGUCCAUGGUGUGUUGCUGCUAUUUUUCUGGCCGGUAAUCUGUGCACUGCUGAGACCUUAGUCUGAGCACUGUUGGGCGUGCCCUCUGAUCAACUGUUCGCAAUCGUUGAAAUAAUUUUUUUCCAUGGCCGUUUUGUCGCUCAAAUUUCUAAUUUAUCUAGGUAGGGGUUUUGAUGAAUUUACUUCUUCUCCAUCGUGCAUUCUGAGGGCAGAAUUUCAUGGUAGUUCUCCAAAGCUGCUUGCCAAGAAAAAGGUUAUCUAGUGAUUGCUCUUCUCAAUGGACCAUGUUACGGGGGUAGAGAUAUAAUCAUACCUACAAAAUUUUAACGUUGGGGGUAGCUCUUAUCCCUUGCCAUGGAUUGCUGCAAAUUUUGAAAAACAUGGAUGUUCUUGUUAUAUCAUAUACUCCAUCCAAAUUAUAAUGUGUUCA
This is a long non-coding RNA of Triticum aestivum (bread wheat), 808 nucleotides long. RefSeq lists it as uncharacterized. The record is from RefSeq and is a predicted model, not a curated record. The transcript is spliced from 3 exons. Lineage: Eukaryota; Viridiplantae; Streptophyta; Magnoliopsida; Poales; Poaceae.